This is a long non-coding RNA of Cyprinus carpio (common carp), 1648 nucleotides long. RefSeq lists it as uncharacterized. The transcript has 2 exons. NCBI's taxonomy places the organism in Eukaryota, Metazoa, Chordata, Actinopteri, Cypriniformes, Cyprinidae. The record is from RefSeq and is a predicted model, not a curated record.
UUAAAAACAUGUGGACAUUUUUAUAACAACUGACCUUUCAGCUGCAAGAACUUGCACUUUUUGGGGUUUCACUCCAUAUUAGGACCACCAUAUAGUUUAUAUUAUUGUUAUUGUUAUAGAGAUACUUUUAGUUUUUCUGUUGCUGAAACAGUUUUUGGACCAACUUAGUUUAUUUUGGUUUUGUUUAAUUCUGGAACAUGGUGAUUGUAUGGGUCCUCUCUUUUGAGCUACUUAUUAUCAUCAUAAUAAUAAUAAUAAUAAUAAUAAUUCAAAAAGGUUUAUAUGUUGCCUUUCAGGACUUCAUUGUCCUUUUACGAAGGAAAAGGGAAACCACAAAUUAGUAGGAUGUAAGUCUAAACAGAGGACAGCAGAAAAAAACAAACAUAAUCCAAUCAAAGCAAUCGAACAAAAAAUAGAUGUUACACAAUAGAAAACCUACAACAAAAACAGAUUGGAAGUGAGAACCAGGAACCAGAAAUAUCAGGAAAAAUGCAAACUGAUGUCACAGACAACCCAAAAUCUUCUCUUCCCCAAUUUGAUUUGCUUAGAUGAUUCUUUUAUGUGGGGAAAUGUUGGAUGAGAGUUUGAAAGGAGCAGUGGUGCUGUGCCAAACUCAUUAUCCCAGAAUGUCCCCACUGCAGUCAUGCAGUCUCUUCACAGUGACCAUCUGUUUUAUAGACUAAGCCUGCUUAAAGGAGAGGUGCACUCUAAUAAUUCGAUGCAAUAAUUUUGGGAUUAUUCUUUCGUUGUUGAAUAGUGCCCUGAUAGUAUGCGCUCUCGUAUUUAAAGUACCUGCUUGGUUGACAACAGUGUAGAACAGUGAUUCUCAGCUGAUACAGGAAUAUUUUCUGAUAUGAUCACUGAUGGCAAGGGCAAGGCUAUCUUAAAUAAUAAUAAUAAUAAAAAUUAAGCAAAAUGUAGAGCAGGGGUUCUUAACUUUGGCCAUCAAGAUCCACUUUCCUGCGGAUUUCAGCUCCAAACAUAAUCAAAAACACCUGAUUAAUUAAUCAAAUAAUGCUUACUUGUGCAUAAUGUAAACCUUUGGGAGACCACAGACAGUUGUCGUUACCUGUACUGCAUUAAUAGAAAGUCAGUUAAUAUAAAGUAUUAUUCAGAUUAUAAUUUGACCAUGGGGUGGAAAGAUUUAUGAUGGUUCCAUGUGCACUCACCAUUUUCAAUUUUACAUCUCUCACAACAAAAUUUGGUUUUACCAUUGUAAACAGAAAUUGCAGUCUAUAGAGCAGAGUUUGGCUCCUACCUCAAUACAAUUCACCUACCAGUAACUUUCUAGUUAUCCUGAAGACCCUGAUUAGCUUGUUCAGGUGUGUUUGAUCAGGGUUGGAGCUAAACUCUUCAGGAAAGCCAGAGUUGAGAACCCUGCUAUCGAGACUGAAGUUUCUGUUAACACUGGUAAAACCAAUUUGGACCCCGAGGGCUAGAGUGGAGAUCCUCUGCUGUAGAGCAUAUUUAAAAGUAUAUGUAAACAUUUAGCAAAGUUCCAUGUUUAGGGUCAGUUUCUAAUGGAAGAGUUUGAAUCUCAGUCCUAAAUUUUCUUUAGGUUGCACUUAAGUAUAGUGCACAUGCAACAUUUCAGACAAGAGCUGGAGGAAUGGUCACCGAGACAGAACAACAGGUAGCGAAAAAGAAA